RNAcentral lists this ribosomal RNA (466 nucleotides) under uncultured bacterium. Its description in RNAcentral is "partial 16S ribosomal RNA". It matches the Rfam family "Bacterial small subunit ribosomal RNA", at positions 28 to 507 of the family's 1533-position model. The record is from RNAcentral.
GACGAACGCUGGCGGCGUGCUUAACACAUGCAAGUCGAACGGAAAGGCCUCUUUCGGGGGGUACUCGAGUGGCGAACGGGUGAGUAACACGUGAGUAACCUGCCCUUGACUUUGGGAUAACUUCAGGAAACUGGGGCUAAUACCGGAUAGGAGCUCCUGCUGCAUGGUGGGGGUUGGAAAGUUUCGGCGGUUGGGGAUGGACUCGCGGCUUAUCAGCUUGUUGGUGGGGUAGUGGCUUACCAAGGCUUUGACGGGUAGCCGGCCUGAGAGGGUGACCGGCCACAGGGGGCCGAGAAGGGGGCCAGGCCGCCGGGGGGAGGCGGCGGGGGGAAAUUUGGAACAGGGGGGGGAGGCGUGAGGCAGAAACGCCGGGGGGGGGAAACCGGCUUUGGGGUGGAAACCCGCUUUGGCCGGGUAAAAAGGGGGGGUGAGGGUAGGGGAAAAAAAAGCCCCGCCUAACAACGCG